UACAGAGGGUGCAAGCGUUGUUCGGAAUUAUUGGGCGUAAAGGGCGCGUAGGCGGCGCCACAAGUCACUUGUGAAAACUCUGGGCUCAACCCAGAGCCUGCAGGCGAAACUGUGGUGCUGGAGUAUGGGAGAGGUGCGUGGAAUUCCCGGUGUAGUGGUGAAAUGCGUAGAGAUCGGGAAGAACACCAGUGGCGAAGGCGGCCGGCUGGGGGCGCCCUGACGCUGAGGCGCGAGAGCGUGGGGAGCAAACCGG
Molecule: ribosomal RNA, 253 nt
Filed under: uncultured bacterium
Lineage: Bacteria
Description: partial 16S ribosomal RNA
Rfam family: Bacterial small subunit ribosomal RNA
Source: RNAcentral